Molecule: ribosomal RNA, 1361 nt
Filed under: uncultured bacterium
Lineage: Bacteria
Description: 16S ribosomal RNA
Rfam family: Bacterial small subunit ribosomal RNA
Source: RNAcentral
AGAGUUUGAUCAUGGCUCAGGAUGUACGUUAGUAGCUUGCCUAACACAUGCGAGUCGAGCGGAAAGCAAUAGCAAUAUUGCUUCUAGCGGCGAACGGGUGAGUAAUACUUAUCUUACCUACCAUUCAGUGGGGGAUAACCAAAGGAAGCUUUGGCUAAUACCGCAUAUUCUGGCUUCGGCCAGGAAAGGAUUUCGAUUCGCUAAAUGAUGGGGAUAAGGCGUGUUAGCUAGUUGGUGGGGUAAUGGCCUACCAAGGCCAAGAUGCGUAGCCAAACUGAGAGGUUGACUGGCCACAAGGGAACUGAGACACGGUCCCUACUCCUACGGGAGGCAGCAAUGAUGAACCGUCGGCAAUGGGGGCAACCCUGACCGCGCAAUGCUACGUGAAGGAGGAAGGUCUACGGAUUGUAAACUUCUUUACCAGAGGGUACUGACGCAAGAAUUACCCUUUAGCAAAAAGUCACGACUAACUAUGUGCCAGCAGUCGCGGUAAGACAUAGGCGGCGAACGUUAUCCGGAAUUAUUGGGCGUAAAGGAUGCGUAGAUGGUAGAAUAAGUUAGCGGUGGGAAAUCGAGGCUCAACCUCGUGGAAGCUGGUAAUACUAUCGUGCUAGAGUGUAGGAGAGGUUAACGGAACUNCCCCGUGGAGCGGUGAAAUGCAUAGAUAUGGGGAAGAACACCAAUAACGGCGAAGGCAGUUAACUAUUCUACUACUGACAUUGAGGCACGAAAGCGUGGGGAGCAAAAAGGAUUAGAUACCCUUGUAGUCCACGCCCUAAACGAUGAGUACUAGAUAUUGGGGAACUUGAUUCUCAGUGUCGCUGGUAACCCGGUAAGUACUCCGCCUGGGUAGUACGGUCGCAAGGCUGAAACUCAAAGGAAUUGACGGGGACUCGCACAAGCAGUGGAGCAUGUGGUUUAAUCCGGUACGACGCGUAGGACCUUACCAAGGCUUGACAUGUUCGGCAAAGUUGCUGAAAGGCAAUAGAGGUUAUCCGAACACAGGUGCUGCAUGGCCGUCGUCAGUUCGUGCCGUGAGGUGUAUGGUUAAGUCCUAUAACGAACGCAACCCUUGGGCUUAGUUACCAGCAUUCAGUUGGGGACUCUAAGCCGACUGCCCGAGUAAUCGGGAGGAAGGAAAGGAUGACGUCUGGUCGUCAUGGCCCUUAUGCCUUGGGCGACACACGUGCUACAAUGGUUAAGACAAAGCGUUGCCAACCCGCGAGGGGGAGCCAAUCGCAAAAAAUUAACCUCAGUUCGGAUUGGAGGCUGCAACUCGCCUCCAUGAAGUCGGAAUUGCUAGUAAUCGCAAAUCAGCCAUGUUGCGGUGAAUACGUUCUCGAGCCUUGUACACACCGCCC